RNAcentral lists this unclassified non-coding RNA (288 nucleotides) under Hevea brasiliensis (rubber tree). Lineage: Eukaryota; Viridiplantae; Streptophyta; Magnoliopsida; Malpighiales; Euphorbiaceae. The record is from RNAcentral.
GGGAUGACUCUUUCUCUAUAUGGCGCUGUUCUUAGACAGAGGGCAUCAGAAGUUAUAUCAGAAGAUCAAGUGCAAUCUGCGACCUUUUUCAGAGAAGCUGCCGGGGUUUAUCAAUAUCUAGCUAAGGAGAUUCUUCCAGCCAUUCAACAUUGUCUGCCUUCUGAAAGGCCACCAGAAGUUAUUCCAUCUACUUCUGCUGUGAUGAGUCUGGUUUGUUUAGCUGAGGCUCAGGCUGUCACAUCGAUGAGGGCCGAAGAAAAGGGAACUAUUCCCAGUCUUUUGGCAAAG